This 756-nucleotide long non-coding RNA is filed under the name Gossypium barbadense (sea-island cotton). RNAcentral's name for it is "long non-coding RNA (GBAR_LNC005965)". The record is from RNAcentral. Lineage: Eukaryota; Viridiplantae; Streptophyta; Magnoliopsida; Malvales; Malvaceae.
AAGGGUUGGAGGGUUUGCUCCUGUUGUUGAAGAGAAGUCGACACAGGUGCGGAUUGUGGGGAUGGAACUGUUUGUUGAGAAAAAGGUGGUAAAGGUGAUAAAGUAGGUGUAUUAUGUAUUACAUUAUGGGAAGCAGAUUGUGAGUGAGACAUUGAAUGUGAUGGAAAAGGUGUAGUGGAGGUAGGUGUUGAAUGUGAUGGGAUAGGUGUAGUGGAGGUAGGUGGCGUAUUUGGUGGAGGUGUAGGCAAAGUGCUAGAACACGAAACAUGAGGUGAAGGAACAACUAAAAGUUUAGCACUAACUUGUGGACUAGAAAUAGGUGAUGUGACUGGUGAAUAAUGACUUAUGUAUGGAAAAGUAGUUUCAUUAAAGGUGACAUGACGGGUGACAUAGACUUUGCCAUUGGGGUCUUUACAUUUAUAACCUUUAUGUACUGAGGAGUAACCUAGAAAAACACAGGGUAUUGAACGAAAUUGCAGCUUUGUUUUUGUGAACGGCCUAAGAUUUGGAAAACACAAGCAGCCAAAAGUUCGAAGAAAAGAAUAAUCAGGUUUCGUUUUAAACAAUUGCUCAUAUGGGGAUAUAUUACCUAGAGGUUGAGAUGGUAAUCGGUUAACCAGAAACACAGCACUACAGAAGGCUUCAUUCCAAAAACUUAAUGGCAUGGUGGCAUGAGCUAACAUAGACAAGCCUGUUUCAACCACCUGACGAUGCUUGCGUUCAACAAGUCCAUUUUGAGCAGACGUGUAUGGACAG